Molecule: ribosomal RNA, 253 nt
Filed under: Blautia schinkii
Lineage: Bacteria; Bacillati; Bacillota; Clostridia; Lachnospirales; Lachnospiraceae
Description: partial 16S ribosomal RNA
Rfam family: Bacterial small subunit ribosomal RNA
Source: RNAcentral
UACGUAGGGGGCAAGCGUUAUCCGGAUUUACUGGGUGUAAAGGGAGCGUAGACGGGCGGGCAAGUCUGAAGUGAAAGGCAGGGGCUCAACCCCUGGACUGCUUUGGAAACUGUCCAUCUAGAGUGCCGGAGAGGUAAGCGGAAUUCCUAGUGUAGCGGUGAAAUGCGUAGAUAUUAGGAGGAACACCAGUGGCGAAGGCGGCUUACUGGACGGUAACUGACGUUGAGGCUCGAAAGCGUGGGGAGCAAACAGG